RNAcentral lists this ribosomal RNA (235 nucleotides) under uncultured Glomeromycotina. Its description in RNAcentral is "partial 18S ribosomal RNA". The stretch from base 45 to 235 matches the Rfam family "Eukaryotic small subunit ribosomal RNA", at positions 694 to 887 of the family's 1831-position model. Lineage: Eukaryota; Fungi; Glomeromycota. The record is from RNAcentral.
GAAUCAAUAUGUUGGUCGUGCCUUGGUAUGUACUAAUUUAUUGGUUUCUUCCUUCUGACGAACCAUAAUGUCAUAAAUUUGGUGUCUUGGGAAUCAGGACUGUUACUUUGAAAAAUUAGAGUGUUUAAAGCAGGCUCACGCUUGAAUACAUUAGCAUGGAAUAAUGAAAUAGGACGUUUGAUUCUAUUUUGUUGGUUUCUAGGAUUGACGUAAUGAUUAAUAGGGAUAGUUGGGC